AACAUUUUUUAAACAAAAAUAAAAAUGAAUAAAAACUUACCAUUUAUCUCGGUUUAAAAAUACAACAAUUUCAAACAUUCUACUUAUCCAAAAAUUCUAACAACAGACAAUACAUUUUUCUCAAUAGAAAAAAAAAAAAAAAAGAAUGUCACGAAAUAACCAUUCAACAAUUCAAUCUAUGUUUAAAAAUCAACAGAAGUGUAAAGAUGCGUAAGAAAUGUCAUAAACGUUGGACCAACAGGCCUCUGGACGACCAGCGAGUCGAAUUAGCCGCGUGCUUCCCCACCUAUUAAUCCGAAUAGCGAGAAAGAGAGGUUGGCCCUCUCCCUCGCCAAAGGGAGGUAACGACGCCAACGAUAAAUAAGUACCUGCAGGACUGGCGGAGAGCGGGAGCAUAUCGCCUGCUGUUUCGCGGUCAGAUACUUCAUACACUCUUCUACUUGGAUCAAUAGAUACUUAUUUUUGAAUAUCUAAAAAAAAUUUCAUAUUAAAUUUGAUAUCGUUCUUAUAUCGCUCUUGAUCUAUGGAAUCUCUCUUCCCUCUUAUGCUACAUCAAGAAUUACUUGCCAACCCUAUAUUUUCAUGAAGCAUAGAGAGGACAGCUCCUCAGUAGCCUCGCUCCUGCCGAGGCUACUCACAAAGGAACUCUCGCCGUGACGAACCACCUAUAAUUAGACCAGGUAUUCGAGUGAAAAUUAUAGAGGGGAAAAGGACGAAGGGCAAUAGCUAGGGUAACCCAUGCUCGACAAUACAUGUUUAAGAGCAUCCACAACAAGAAUCGACAAUAGAAAUCGCUUGUACGAUAAAGUGAAAUAGGAAAUCUUAAAAGACAAUUAAUUAGCACAUCCAUUGUAGAUAAAAUGAGAAUAUACAUUGACAUUUAUACUUAUAUGAAAUUAUAAUACUAACUUAUGUAUGUGUAAUAUGAAUUAAAAAUAAAAUAUCAUCAAAAUGUGAAAAAAAAA
Long non-coding RNA from Apis dorsata (giant honeybee), 965 nucleotides. RefSeq lists it as uncharacterized. The transcript is spliced from 2 exons. Lineage: Eukaryota; Metazoa; Arthropoda; Insecta; Hymenoptera; Apidae. The record is from RefSeq and is a predicted model, not a curated record.